CCCAACCCUAUGUGAACUUACCACUUGUUGCUUCGGCGCGCGCUUCGGCGCCGCCGAGGACACUUAAACUCUUUGUUUUUAUAAGCAUUUCUGAGUGGCCGAAAGGCAAAAAUACAAAUGAAUCAAAACUUUCAACAACGGAUCUCUUGGUUCUGGCAUCGAUGAAGAACGCAGCGAAAUGCGAUAAGUAAUGUGAAUUGCAGAAUUCAGUGAAUCAUCGAAUCUUUGAACGCACAUUGCGCCCGCCAGCAUUCUGGCGGGCAUGCCUGUUCGAGCGUCAUUUCAACCCUCGAGCCCGACUCUUUUGAGGACGGCUCGGCGUUGGGGGACGGCAGACUCCCCCCGGCAUCUCGCCGGGGACGCCGCCCCCGAAAUCUAGUGGCGGCCCUCCGAGGCGACCUCUGCGUAGUAACUUGUUCUCGCACCGGAAAGCUCAGAGCGGCCACGCCGUAAAACCCCAACUUUUUUCAGGUUGACCUCGAAUCAGGUAGGACUACCCGCUGAACUUAAGCAUAUCAAUAAGCGGAGGGAAAAGAAAACGGA
This 543-nucleotide ribosomal RNA is filed under the name Gloeotinia temulenta. Its description in RNAcentral is "eukaryotic LSU rRNA". The stretch from base 127 to 280 matches the Rfam family "5.8S ribosomal RNA". The record is from RNAcentral. Lineage: Eukaryota; Fungi; Ascomycota; Leotiomycetes; Helotiales.